AUUGAACGCUGGCGGCAUGCUUUACACAUGCAAGUCGAGCGGCAGCGCGGGGGCAACCCUGGCGGCGAGCGGCGAACGGGUGAGUAACACAUCGGAACGUAUCCAUAAGUGGGGGAUAGCCCGGCGAAAGCCGGAUUAAUACCGCAUACGAUCUUUGGAUGAAAGCAGGGGAUCGCAAGACCUUGCGCUUUAGGAGCGGCCGAUGUCCGAUUAGCUAGUUGGUGGGGUAAAGGCCUACCAAGGCGACGAUCGGUAGCUGGUCUGAGAGGACGACCAGCCACACUGGGGACUGAGACACGGCCCCAGACUCCUACGGGAGGCAGCAGUGGGGAAUUUUUGGACAAUGGGGGCAACCCUGAUCCAGCCAUGCCGCGUGCGGGAAGAAGGCCUUCGGGUUGUAAACCGCUUUUGGUCGGAAAGAAAGGG
Molecule: ribosomal RNA, 426 nt
Filed under: uncultured bacterium
Lineage: Bacteria
Description: bacterial SSU rRNA
Rfam family: Bacterial small subunit ribosomal RNA
Source: RNAcentral